AAAUGCGAUAAGUAAUGUGAAUUGCAGAAUUCAGUGAAUCAUCGAAUCUCUGAACGCACCUUGCGCUCCUUGGUAUUCCUUGGAGCAUGCCUGUUUGAGUAUCAUGAAAUCUUCAAAGUAAAUCUUUUGUUAACUCAAUUGGUUUCUACUUUGGUAUUGGAGGUCUUUGCAGCUUCACACCUGCUCCUCUUUGUUCAUUAGCUGGAUCUCAGUGUUAUGCUUGGUUCCACUCGGCGUGAUAAGUUAUCUAUCGCUGAGGACACUGUAAAAGGUGGCCAAGGUAAAUGCAGAUGAACCGCUUCUAAUAGUCCAUUGACUUGGACAAUACUUUUAUGAUCUGAUCUCAAAUCAGGUAGGACUACCCGCUGAACUUAAGC
Molecule: unclassified non-coding RNA, 377 nt
Filed under: plant metagenome
Description: partial contains 5.8S ribosomal RNA, internal transcribed spacer 2, and large subunit ribosomal RNA
Rfam family: 5.8S ribosomal RNA (bases 1-104)
Source: RNAcentral